CCCUUAGAUGUUCUGGGCCGCAAGCGCGCUACACUGACGAAUGCAACGAGCUUAUAACCUUGGCCGAAAGGUCUGGGUAAUCUCCAAAUUUCGUCGUGAUGGGGAUAGAUUAUUGCAAUUAUUAAUCUUCAACGAGGAAUGCCUAGUAAGCGCAAGUCAUCAGCUUGCGUUGAUUACGUCCCUGCCCUUUGUACACACCGCCCGUCGCUCCUACCGAUUGAAUGGUCCGGUGAAGCGUUCGGACCGUGGCCUUUGGACGGUUCGCCGUCUGUUGGCUGCGGGAAGUUCGUUAAACCUUAUCAUUUAGAGGAAGGAGAAGUCGUAACA
Molecule: ribosomal RNA, 327 nt
Filed under: uncultured eukaryote
Lineage: Eukaryota
Description: partial 18S ribosomal RNA
Rfam family: Eukaryotic small subunit ribosomal RNA
Source: RNAcentral